This 301-nucleotide ribosomal RNA is filed under the name uncultured bacterium. Its description in RNAcentral is "partial 16S ribosomal RNA". It matches the Rfam family "Bacterial small subunit ribosomal RNA", at positions 509 to 807 of the family's 1533-position model. The record is from RNAcentral.
CAGCAGCCGCGGUAAUACGUAGGGUGCAAGCGUUAAUCGGAAUUACUGGGCGUAAAGCGUGCGUAGGUGGUGGUUUAAGUCCGUUGUGAAAGCCCUGGGCUCAACCUGGGAAUUGCAGUGGAUACUGGGUCACUAGAGUGUGGUAGAGGAUAGUGGAAUUUCCGGUGUAGCAGUGAAAUGCGUAGAGAUCGGAAGGAACAUCUGUGGCGAAGGCGACUAUCUGGGCCAACACUGACACUGAGGCACGAAAGCGUGGGGAGCAAACAGGAUUAGAUACCCCCGUAGUCCCUGUCUCUUAUAC